Long non-coding RNA from Juglans microcarpa x Juglans regia, 1310 nucleotides. RefSeq lists it as uncharacterized. Lineage: Eukaryota; Viridiplantae; Streptophyta; Magnoliopsida; Fagales; Juglandaceae. The transcript is spliced from 3 exons. The record is from RefSeq and is a predicted model, not a curated record.
CAGUUCAUUAAGGUCGAUGGAGAUGGAUUCAGACAACCAUAGAAGUUCUCAGUUUUUGGACUUCGGCAUGUCACUCGCACUGCUGGAGGAGCUAUCUUGAAGACCUAGAGAUGAAGAAUACCUACAUGAAGAACUAUUUUCAGCAUCUUCAAUUCAAGUUCUGUUGCGACAUCGUUAGAAUCAUCAGAUCUUUCAACAUUGCUGGUCCUGUGAUGAUCUAGGGACUUACUUUGGGAUUCUUGUUUGCUUGAAAUCUGGGAAGUGGAUGCAUGUUGUGCUGAUUGAGGCUCCAUUGGAGGGUUGGGAGGAGUUGGAUAAGGGAUGAAAGUCGAACAGGGAUUAGGAAUGGUACCACGAUUCUGAUUCCCAAAGAAGGGAAACGGCUGCAGAGAUGCAUGAAUAGGAAUUGGGCCUGGAGUGACAGGUACAGGAACUGGAUAUGAAUAAGGCAGACCCAUUACAACAGAAGGAUCGAUGGCAGCCCGUGGGAACAUAACCCUGAGUCUUUGCUGAUGCUGAACAUUCAAACUCUCAAUGUCAGAUUUUAAUGAUGCCUUCUCUUCUCUGAGCUCAUUCUUCUCCUGUGUUAGCUGUAUAUAGUGAAAAACGAGGGAUAAUAUCAGCAUAAAUGGGCUUCACAACCUUGAGGUAACAAGAUGAUAACAUCACCUCACGUGCUUCUUCAGUAAGUGCUGCACACUCAGCUUUCAGUCUGCUGACUUCAGCAGUUAAAUCCUUCAGCUCUUGGACUGUGUCUGUAAGGAUGGUUGCCUUGUCAUUCUUCGGCCUAUCUGGAUCUGCAUUUUGAAUGUAAUUUGUAAACAUUUAAAGUUGAAGCAAUUUAUAAUCACCAGAGUAAGAAGUCCAGUGAAAAGUAAAUGCUCGAGCAGCAGGACGCAUUGACAGCCAAGUUAAAUACAAAAGCUCUCAAGUCAGAAUCAAUUCCACUUUGACAAGUAUGGAUUAGCAAAAUCAAAUCAUAGCAAGUGCACGUGUAACUGGGGCCUGUCUAAAGUCGAUAUAUACCACAAUCAACAGAAAGUCUUCGGCUGAAAAUUAGUAACCACUUACUAAAACUAUAUCAUUUCAAAACUUUGUAUUUUUUGCCUUUCAGUCUUUUAUCGAGGCUUCAGUCUACCGUUGGAAAGGAGAAGAUAUAUUUUAGAGCCAUUUGAGUUCCUGCGUGGAAUUUAUAUCUGGUGAGAGAGCUAUAACUCAACUUCUUUUCAACAAAAACUAUAUUGACCUUUUUAUAUGUGAAGUAAGCCAACAGUGUUCUAUAUAAUGAGAAACCAAAACAAGCCAGUUCA